GAUGAAGAACGCAGCGAAAUGCGAUACUUGGUGUGAAUUGCAGAAUCCCGUGAACCAUCGAGUCUUUGAGCGCAAGUUGCGCCUCAAGCCAUUAGGUUGAGGGCACGUCUGCCUGGGCGUCACAUAUCGUUGCCUGAUGCCAGUUUCCUCGUGAUGGGUGACUGUGCAGGGCGAAUGAUGGCUUCCCGUGAGCAUUGUUGCCUCAUGGUUGGUUGAAAAUUGAGUCCUUGGUAGGGAGCGCCGUGAUAGAUGGUGGUUGAGUGACGAACGAGACCCAAUCAUGUGAGACCCCUACCGAAUUUGGCCUUCAUGACCCACAUGCGUCUUUGGAACGCUCAUGACGAGACCUCAGGUCAGGCGGGGCUACCCGCUGAGUUUAAGCAUAUCAAUAAGCGGAGGA
This 400-nucleotide unclassified non-coding RNA is filed under the name soil metagenome. RNAcentral describes it as "partial contains 5.8S ribosomal RNA, internal transcribed spacer 2, and large subunit ribosomal RNA". The stretch from base 1 to 122 matches the Rfam family "5.8S ribosomal RNA", at positions 35 to 154 of the family's 154-position model. The record is from RNAcentral.